UACGGAGGGGGCUAGCGUUGUUCGGAAUUACUGGGCGUAAAGCGCGCGUAGGCGGACCUGCAAGUCGGGGGUGAAAGCCCAGGGCUCAACCCUGGAAUGGCCUUCGAUACUGGAUGUCUUGAGACCGGAAGAGGUUGGUGGAACUGCGAGUGUAGAGGUGAAAUUCGUAGAUAUUCGCAAGAACACCGGUGGCGAAGGCGGCCAACUGGUCCGGUUCUGACGCUGAGGAGCGAAAGCGUGGGGAGCGAACAGG
This 253-nucleotide ribosomal RNA is filed under the name uncultured bacterium. RNAcentral's name for it is "partial 16S ribosomal RNA". It matches the Rfam family "Bacterial small subunit ribosomal RNA", at positions 524 to 776 of the family's 1533-position model. The record is from RNAcentral.